This 73-nucleotide transfer RNA is filed under the name Haematococcus lacustris. RNAcentral's name for it is "Haematococcus pluvialis tRNA". It matches the Rfam family "tRNA". Rfam says of the family: Transfer RNA (tRNA) molecules are approximately 80 nucleotides in length. Their secondary structure includes four short double-helical elements and three loops (D, anti-codon, and T loops). Lineage: Eukaryota; Viridiplantae; Chlorophyta; Chlorophyceae; Chlamydomonadales; Haematococcaceae. The record is from Rfam by way of RNAcentral.
GGCCUUGUGGCGCAAUGGAUAGCGCAUCAGACUUCGGAUCUGAGGGUUGCAGGUUCGAGUCCUGUCAGGGUCG